RNAcentral lists this ribosomal RNA (500 nucleotides) under uncultured bacterium. Its description in RNAcentral is "partial 16S ribosomal RNA". It matches the Rfam family "Bacterial small subunit ribosomal RNA", at positions 29 to 523 of the family's 1533-position model. The record is from RNAcentral.
AUUGAACGCUGGCGGCAUGCCUUACACAUGCAAGUCGAACGGCAGCACGGGGGCAACCCUGGUGGCGAGUGGCGAACGGGUGAGCAAAGCGUCGGAACGUACCCGGAAGUGGGGGAUAACGUAGCGAAAGUUACGCUAAUACCGCAUACGCCCUGAGGGGGAAAGCGGGGGAUCGUAAGACCUCGCGUUAUUGGAGCGGCCGAUAUCUGAUUAGCUAGUUGGUGGGGUAAAGGCCCACCAAGGCGACGAUCAGUAGCUGGUCUGAGAGGACGACCAGCCACACUGGAACUGAGACACGGUCCAGACUCCUACGGGAGGCAGCAGUGGGGAAUUUUGGACAAUGGGGGCAACCCUGAUCCAGCCAUUCCGCGUGAGUGAAGAAGGCCUUCGGGUUGUAAAGCUCUUUCGUAAGGAAAGAAAACUUACCCAAUAACACUGGGUGAGGCUGACGGUACCUUGAUAAGAAGCACCGGCUAACUACGUGCCAGCAGCCGCCGUAA